CCUCUUAUUGUCUUGUGUGUUUUUUUCUCAAUUUAAUAGCACAAGAUAGAAGACAGAAGGCCAUAAACAAUUCAAUUUGGGGAACAGCAAUCAGGUCCAGUAAGGAGAUUCUAUCAGAAAACCAAGAUGCAAUUCCCGAUGUCUGGACAUUAUUAUCGUGUGAAGACUGGUAAAGAGAAGAAGUUAUAAAUAGGUCUUACUGAAGGAUUGAUAAAGGGGGAGAACAAGGGAUGUGGAGGGCCCCAUGCCUGUGUUUGCCUUAGGCCCCAAAAUGACUAAAUCCACCCCUGAACCAUAACUGUCCUUUAUUUUUUUGGAUUUAUGUUGCUUUGUUUUAUGAUUUCUACACAUUUUAUACUUAUUGUGCUCUAUACUGCCCUCUUCACCACUGAAUCAUUUUAUUGUUAAAACUUAAAUGGUUUAUCUGCACAAAAACAGCCUAAAAAAUAGUAAAAAUAUUUUUCCUUACAACUUCUCUGCAUAGCACAAAAAGUGCAAAUCAAUCAACAGUAAACGCUUCAGUCCUUCAGACUUUCAAUAGUUCUUACAGAUUCCUGGUUUCGGCUCAGUUAAAUAUCCAGGCACAGGUGCCAUCAAUGACCCAUCAGGUCAGUUGGAGUGUACAUGGAGAAACUGGAAAGAAAGAAAGAAAAAAACUAUUUCCAACACUUUCUUUUAGUGUGUUAUAUAAAUGAUCUUUUUCCUUACUCCAAUGAUUGUUCAUUGCGGAUAAGCUGUUAAAAUAUUUGUUAAAAGCAUGCUACAUCCUGCACAUCCUGCAAUAUAUAGCAUGAGAAGAGCAACCAACUUAAAGUUAAUGAUUAAAGAUUUUUUGUCUGUGAAACCAA
Long non-coding RNA from Thunnus maccoyii (southern bluefin tuna), 848 nucleotides. RefSeq lists it as uncharacterized. The transcript has 2 exons. Lineage: Eukaryota; Metazoa; Chordata; Actinopteri; Scombriformes; Scombridae. The record is from RefSeq and is a predicted model, not a curated record.